CAAAUUUUACCCAACAACACACUAAUAACUUACACACUAACUAAAACAAUGAAACCCUAAAAGUUCAGCGUUCAUCUUCUCGCUCGAACCCUCUCGAACCCUAAAAGCUAAGGCGCCGUCAGCUUCAUCUUCGCGAUCGAACCCAGCCCUGGUCGUGGUGCUGCUCGCCUCUCUCUGUCGCGAUUCUGCUCAGCCUCUCUGUCGCGGUUCUGCUUAGUCUCAUCUUCUCGAACCCAGCACUUGUCGUGGUGCUGCUCGCCUCUCUCUGUCGCGGUUCUGCUCAGCCUCAUCUUCUCGAACCCACCCCUGGUCGUGGUGCUGCUCGCCUCUCUCUGUGUCGCGGUUCUGCUCGCCUCUCAUCCCACAUCUGGCAUUAAGGUGCUGCUGAGUAGUUGGGGAGCAGGUGUUUGCUCAUCCUCUUCACUCUUUGAGCAUCUCUCAAGAGCUAAGCUUCUUUGUUUUUUCUUUUAUCAGAACCAUGUGUUCUUGAAGCUUUCUGGUGGAGGCUCUAUGUGAUGAAGCAAGGUUCUGAGAGCAUUUGGGUUCUAUGCCGUAUUAACUUUGGUUUAUCUUGUAGCUGGGUUGAUUGGAGGUUUUCUGACUUUUUUAAUAUCUGCAUUCAUGCUUCCUGCAUGGGUAUCCUACUGCUUAUCAAUUAAAUCCUUUGGACACCAAUCACUCAGAUCAACUAUGUUUUACAUAUUACCACUAGUUCUAUGCCUUGCCUAUACUGUUUAUUUUGGUGGGUCUUGUCCAGUUUCUAAUAGAGAAGAUGGGCAUGAUGGGUUCUCUUCCUCCUCCAUAUGGCAAUUUUUCCAGUCAGUUUUCUCUUUUCAAAUAGUCUGAAGUUCCCUGCAAAAAGUGAUGAUAUUUUGAAGCAGUAUGAAUUCUUUCCCAUGUUAUCUGUUCAGAAUCAACAUUUAAAUUCUGAAAAGGGACCAAGGAGAGUCCACUUGGAGCUCUAUUUAGGGUGAGUUGAUCAUGGUUAACCUACACAAUCACACACUUAUGUCUUGAUUUAUGGUGAAGAUGAAUGGUCAUUUGGAUUCUGGGAGCAAGUUAUGGUACUGGUAUGUGCUUUCAAAGACAUUGGCUGAAGAUGCUGCUUGAAAAUUUGUUAAAAAAAAAAAAUUAACCCAGCAAUGGUGAUUGGACCUCUUUUGCAACCAGUACUUAACACAAGUGCUGCUGGUGUUUUGAAUGUAACUAAUGAAUAUGAGAAGGCUAUGGAAAGUUAUAAUGCUGUUGAAGCAGGAGGAGACAAUGGAGAAGGAGAAGGAGAUCAUGAAGAGGGCUGAUGAAAAAUAUGAUAAGGAAGAAGCUGCGGCCAGUGAAGACGAGGAGUUUUAAAGCAAAUGGUAGCAGGAGUUCUUCCCACAUCAACUUUUUGUUAAUCAUAGUUCUACUGUAUAUCACUUUUUGGUUUUCCAUCCUUCAUAUCUUUGGGAAUAUUACAGUUUUAAUUCAAAUUAUUAUUAUUAUAGCAUGUAAAUAAUUCAUGUAAAUUAAUAAAAAAUUAAUUCUUAUGCCU
Arachis ipaensis is the source of this 1531-nucleotide non-coding RNA. The record is from RefSeq and is a predicted model, not a curated record. NCBI's taxonomy places the organism in Eukaryota, Viridiplantae, Streptophyta, Magnoliopsida, Fabales, Fabaceae.